This 492-nucleotide ribosomal RNA is filed under the name uncultured bacterium. RNAcentral's name for it is "partial 16S ribosomal RNA". It matches the Rfam family "Bacterial small subunit ribosomal RNA", at positions 29 to 507 of the family's 1533-position model. The record is from RNAcentral.
AGUGAACGCUGGCGGUAGGCCUAACACAUGCAAGUCGAACGGCAGCACAGUAAGAGCUUGCUCUUACGGGUGGCGAGUGGCGGACAGGUGAGGAAUACAUCGGAAUCUACUUUUUCGUGGGGGAUAACGUAGGGAAACUUACGCUAAUACCGCAUACGACCUACGGGUGAAAGCAGGGGAUCUUCGGACCUUGCGCGAUUGAAUGAGCCGAUGUCGGAUUAGCUAGUUGGCGGGGUAAAGGCCCACCAAGGCGACGAUCCGUAGCUGGUCUGAGAGGAUGAUCAGCCACACUGGAACUGAGACACGGUCCAGACUCCUACGGGAGGCAGCAGUGGGGAAUAUUGGACAAUGGGCGCAAGCCUGAUCCAGCCAUACCGUGUGGGUGAAGAAGGCCUUCGGGUUGUAAAGCCCUUUUGUUGGGAAAGAAAAGCAGCAGGUUAAUACCCCGCUGUUCUGACGGUACCCAAAGAAUAAGCACCGGCUAACUUCGUG